RNAcentral lists this ribosomal RNA (113 nucleotides) under Peromyscus maniculatus bairdii (prairie deer mouse). Lineage: Eukaryota; Metazoa; Chordata; Mammalia; Rodentia; Cricetidae. The record is from RNAcentral.
NCUCAAGGCCAUACUAUCCUGCAUGCGACUGAUCUCAUCUGAUCUCAGGAGCUAAGCAGUGUAGGAUAGGAGACAGUAUAUUUGCUGGGCAGUGGUGGUGCACGCCUUUAAUC